This 627-nucleotide ribosomal RNA is filed under the name Lactiplantibacillus plantarum. RNAcentral describes it as "bacterial SSU rRNA". It matches the Rfam family "Bacterial small subunit ribosomal RNA", at positions 57 to 645 of the family's 1533-position model. The record is from RNAcentral. Lineage: Bacteria; Bacillati; Bacillota; Bacilli; Lactobacillales; Lactobacillaceae.
GCAGUCGAACGAACUCUGGUAUUGAUUGGUGCUUGCAUCAUGAUUUACAUUUGAGUGAGUGGCGAACUGGUGAGUAACACGUGGGAAACCUGCCCAGAAGCGGGGGAUAACACCUGGAAACAGAGGCUAAUACCGCAUAACAACUUGGACCGCAUGGUCCGAGUUUGAAAGAUGGCUUCGGCUAUCACUUUUGGAUGGUCCCGCGGCGUAUUAGCUAGAUGGUGGGGUAACGGCUCACCAUGGCAAUCCAUACGUAGCCGACCUGAGAGGGUAAUCGGCCACAUUGGGACUGAGACACGGCCCAAACUCCUACGGGAGGCAGCAGUAGGGAAUCUUCCACAAUGGACGAAAGUCUGAUGGAGCAACGCCGCGUGAGUGAAGAAGGGUUUCGGUAUUCGUAAAACUCUGUUGUUAAAGAAGAACAUAUCUGAGAGUAACUGUUCAGGUAUUGACGGUAUUUAACCAGAAAGCCACGGCUAACUACGUGCCAGCAGCCGCGGUAAUACGUAGGUGGCAAGCGUUGUCCGGAUUUAUUGGGCGUAAAGCGAGCGCAGGCGGUUUUUAAAGUUGCUGAUGUGAAAGCCUUCGGCUCAACCGAAGAAGUGCAUCGGAAACUGGGAAACUUGA